GGGGGUGUAGCUCAGUGGUAGAGCGCUUGCCUAGAAUGCGGAGGCUCUUAGUUCAAUCCCCAGCACCUACA
This 71-nucleotide transfer RNA is filed under the name Heterocephalus glaber (naked mole-rat). It matches the Rfam family "tRNA". Rfam says of the family: Transfer RNA (tRNA) molecules are approximately 80 nucleotides in length. Their secondary structure includes four short double-helical elements and three loops (D, anti-codon, and T loops). Further hydrogen bonds mediate the characteristic L-shaped molecular structure. tRNAs have two regions of fundamental functional importance: the anti-codon, which is responsible for specific mRNA codon recognition, and the 3' end, to which the tRNAs corresponding amino acid is attached (by aminoacyl-tRNA synthetases). tRNAs cope with the degeneracy of the genetic code in two manners: having more than one tRNA (with a specific anti-codon) for a particular amino acid; and 'wobble' base-pairing, i.e. permitting non-standard base-pairing at the 3rd anti-codon position. The record is from Rfam by way of RNAcentral. Lineage: Eukaryota; Metazoa; Chordata; Mammalia; Rodentia; Bathyergidae.